GAGUCCAGCGCUGAAUCCUUUCGCAUUUGAGUGGCGAACUGGAAAUGUAGCGUAUAGGUGUGGCAUGAAUUUGCGUUUCGUGUACGUCGCGCACACCCAAAGUCCCCUUGAGCGGGGCAACUGAUCCGUAGAAGGUGAAAGACCUGUACGGGUGGUGCGACGUGUACGAUCGAUGUUCACACUUUGGAGUCGGGUUGCCUGAGAUCGCAGCCCAAAGAAGGUGGUAGACUUCAUCUAAGACUAAAUAUGACCACAAGACCGAUAGCAAACAAGUACCGUGAGGGAAAGUUGCAAAGAACUUUGAAGAGAGAGUUCAAUAGGACGUGAAACCGAUAGAAUUGAAGCGGAUAGAGUUGACGAAAUUCGUCGACAUUCAGCCGAGCGGAUUGUUGUCCAGCGCUGUUCGCGAUCAACGUACGCUCGCUUGUUGUGUGGUGCUUCGCGCACGCUCGGCAAGUGUUGGGUGCUAUCGUCUGUGCAGCGCUGUGUGUGCACAAUGGUCGACGCUGGGUGCAUUUGUCGAUGAUUUGCGCCGUGCUCAUCGAUAGCUAAAGCAAGUUCCACUGCGGUGUAGCAGGCCAGUUGACGACUGCCGUCGUGUCCGAGACAAUCUCGAGACUGGCGUGCUAGUUGUGGCUGGUGAUUUCUUGUAUGAGGAAGCGCAGUAUGUAUGUGCAAAAGUGGCUAUUGAUGCGCAAGUAUGUGUUGUCGUGUGUUGUUCGUAGAACGCGCAAUUUUCCAAAUCGUAUGUAUUGCCGUUGUGCGCGUGUGUAGCUUCUGUUGCGCACCACCGACAACACGAAUAACUGAUCACGGUGUGAACGUCAAUCAUCUAUCCGACCCGUCUUGAAACACGGACCAAGGAGUUUAGCACAUGCGCGAGUCAUUGAAUAUUGCAAAAUUCAUAGGCGAAAUGAAAGUGAAUUUGUGCUUUUUUGAGAAAGCAUAUUGAUAUGGGAUCGGUGUUUGCUUUUUGGCGUCCUUGUAGGAGUGCAGCGUAUUGCGUGCGACUUUAACGCAUAAACGAUAGCGAGUCGCAUGUGCACUCACGUGUGUGUGUGUGCCUCGUGAGGGGUGCCCAGGCACACGUACGCGUCACCGAGCACCAUAGCCCCGUUUGCAUUUGAGCACAAGAAUUUAUCAUUCUUUGUGUGAUUGACGAAUUGAACGGAGGAAGAGCGUAUGUGCUGAGACCCGAAAGAUGGUGAACUAUGCCUGAGCAGGACGAAGCCAGAGGAAACUCUGGUGGAAGUUCGAAGCGAUUCUGACGUGCAAAUC
RNAcentral lists this ribosomal RNA (1278 nucleotides) under Kalmanmolnaria intestinalis. RNAcentral's name for it is "partial large subunit ribosomal RNA". It matches the Rfam family "Eukaryotic large subunit ribosomal RNA", at positions 104 to 899 of the family's 3401-position model. The record is from RNAcentral. Lineage: Eukaryota; Metazoa; Nematoda; Chromadorea; Rhabditida; Skrjabillanidae.